GGGGUUGAUUUGGCUUCGACAGGAGCUGUAUCGCUUGAGCUGCAUACCAGCUGCACGCUGUAAAACUGCAAACAACAAUAAACGCAAAUAAUACAAAUUACGCUCCAGCUUACGCAAAAGUCGCGUGAGUUUAACUACUCUUAGGAGCUGAUUAGCUUGGUGAUACUAGCUAACCUUUCUAAUCAUAACACUAGCUAGUUGCUCUUAUGAUCUGCCAAACUCAUAAGAAAAGACUUUGGUUGCUUGUGUAUUUUGUUUUGGGGAUAGAGCAGAUACACAAAAAGAUUUUUCAAUCCUAUCUAAGUAUGUAGACGCUCUUGUUGGGUAUGGUUUUUGGACUGGGGUUCGAUUCCCCACAACUCCACCA
This 367-nucleotide transfer-messenger RNA is filed under the name Helicobacter cappadocius. It matches the Rfam family "transfer-messenger RNA". Rfam says of the family: Bacterial tmRNA, also known as 10Sa RNA or SsrA, is named for its dual tRNA and mRNA-like properties. Its role is to liberate the mRNA from a stalled ribosome. The record is from RNAcentral. Lineage: Bacteria; Pseudomonadati; Campylobacterota; Epsilonproteobacteria; Campylobacterales; Helicobacteraceae.